This 393-nucleotide ribosomal RNA is filed under the name uncultured bacterium. Its description in RNAcentral is "bacterial SSU rRNA". It matches the Rfam family "Bacterial small subunit ribosomal RNA", at positions 28 to 420 of the family's 1533-position model. The record is from RNAcentral.
GACGAACGCUGGCGGCGUGCUUAACACAUGCAAGUCGAGCGGUAAGGCCCUUUCGGGGGUACACGAGCGGCGAACGGGUGAGUAACACGUGGGUGACCUGCCCUCAGCUCUGGGAUAAGCCUGGGAAACCGGGUCUAAUACUGGAUAUGACUCCAUGACGCAUGUUGUGGGGUGGAAAGCCUUGUGCGGCUGAGGAUGGGGCCCGCGGCCUAUCAGCUUGUUGGUGGGGUGAUGGCCUACCAAGGCGACGACGGGUAGCCGGCCUGAGAGGGCGACCGGCCGACACUGGGACUGAGACACGGCCCAGACUCCUACGGGAGGCAGCAGUGGGGAAUCUUGCGCAAUGGGCGAAAGCCUGACGCAGCGACGCCGCGUGAGGGAUGACGGCCUGGU